Molecule: ribosomal RNA, 424 nt
Filed under: uncultured bacterium
Lineage: Bacteria
Description: bacterial SSU rRNA
Rfam family: Bacterial small subunit ribosomal RNA
Source: RNAcentral
GGGCCCGCACAAGCGGUGGAGCAUGUGGUUUAAUUCGAUGAUACGCGAGGAACCUUACCAGGGUUUAAAUGCAGAACGACAGGGGUGGAAACACCCCCUUCUUCGGACGGACUGCAAGGUGCUGCAUGGUUGUCGUCAGCUCGUGCUGUGAAGUGUCGGGUUAAGUCCCAUAACGAGCGCAACCCCCAUUUCUAGUUGCCAGCGGUUCGGCCGGGGACUCUAGAGAAACUGCCAGCGUAAGCUGUGAGGAAGGUGGGGAUGACGUCAAAUCAUCACGGCCCUUACAUCCUGGGCCACACACGUGCUACAAUGGGGGUGACAAAGAGUGGCCAAGCUGCGAAGCUGCGCAAAUCUCAAAAAAACCCUCUCAGUUCGGAUCGCAGUCUGCAACUCGACUGCGUGAAGUUGGAAUCGCUAGUAAUCG